This 562-nucleotide long non-coding RNA is filed under the name Mytilus galloprovincialis (Mediterranean mussel). The record is from RNAcentral. Lineage: Eukaryota; Metazoa; Mollusca; Bivalvia; Mytilida; Mytilidae.
CCCAGACAUCAAAAUGAAGUUAUUGCAUAGAAAACAAUACAUGUACAAACAGAAUAUAUAAUUUCAUUUAAGUGAUCUGUAAUUUGUUACAAAUUAGCCCUAGCUUCCAGGUGUUUUCUCUAGUUCCCCACCAAAAUGAAAAUAAGACUAAAAUUUAAAAUGUUUGUUUCCGCUCUCCCCCCAUGUAAUCAUGCUGUGACAUCCAGUUAAAAAAAAAGUUAACCUGCCUUCCUGGUCUGUUUACAAAGGAUAGUCCCAGGGAGGGCAAACAGAUAUUCUUUUAGUUGCGGCCUAAAUUCACAAUCUACUUGUGCAUGUAUGUCUUUUAGAAUCUACUGAUCGUAAAGCAGUGCAAUUUAGGUAGGGGACCCUCAUCUGGAGUUUUUUUUAAACAAUCCUUUUGUAUUGCUAAGAAGCUUAAAAUUAUCAUGACCCCCUCUAAGAAUCUAAGAAGAAAAUUAGAUACCCCCCCCCCCUUUUUGACCAAAAAAAAAUGAACCAGUUAUUAGACUAGCUUUCAACUUUGGUAAUGCGGUAAUGCUGUUACAUAUCAUGAAAAUAA